Molecule: ribosomal RNA, 326 nt
Filed under: uncultured eukaryote
Lineage: Eukaryota
Description: partial 18S ribosomal RNA
Rfam family: Eukaryotic small subunit ribosomal RNA
Source: RNAcentral
CCCUUAGACGUUCUGGGCCGCACGCGCGCUACACUGACGGAGCCAGCGAGUAUAAACCUUGGCCGAGAGGUCUGGGAAAUCUUGUGAAACUCCGUCGUGCUGGGGAUAGAGCAUUGUAAUUAUUGCUCUUCAACGAGGAAUUCCUAGUAAACGCAAAUCAUCAAUUUGCAUUGAUUACGUCCCUGCCCUUUGUACACACCGCCCGUCGCACCUACCGAUUGAAUGGUCCGGUGAAGCCUCGGGAUUGUGGCCAGUUCACUUUAUUGGGAGUUGGCUGCGAGAACUUGUCUAAACCUUAUCAUUUAGAGGAAGGUGAAGUCGUAACA